GCACUGCGGCCUUGGAUUGUUGGCCAGUUGAGCCCAUUGCGCUGGCAGUUUGCAACACUGUCCACUGUGCAUUGCGGAGUUUGAACAGAGAGGGGAGAUGGAGAGGUGUGGGGCAGUUGGACAUCGAGGAGAGCAGGAACAGCCGGCGCCUGGCGUCGUGGACAGCAGGACAUGGAGGGCCGAAACUCGGAGGAGAGUCUGGCGCCCGACGCGGCACUGUGGGUUGUGGCCACCGCGGCAUGGAGAUGGUGGAGUGGAGCCGGCCGAGCCACGGAGUGAAGCCACAGCCACCGGCAAGGGGCACAUGGUACGACCGCGGCGCAUCCGUGCUCG
RNAcentral lists this unclassified non-coding RNA (333 nucleotides) under Zea mays. RNAcentral describes it as "misc RNA Zm00001eb310070". The record is from RNAcentral. Lineage: Eukaryota; Viridiplantae; Streptophyta; Magnoliopsida; Poales; Poaceae.